UUACCUACGGGGGGCAGCAGUAGGGAAUUUUCGUCAAUGGGCGCAAGCCUGAACGAGCGAUGCCGCGUGAGUGAAGAAGGCCUUCGGGUCGUAAAGCUCUGUUGCGGGGGAAAAAAGGCAGCAUCAGGAAAUGGGUGCUGACUGAUGGUGCCCCGCCAGAAAGUCACGGCUAACUACGUGCCAGCAGCCGCGGUAAUACGUAGGGAGCAAGCGUUGUCCGGAAUUACUGGGCGUAAAGGGCGCGUAGGUGGGCGCUUAAGUCAGGUGUGAAAACUCCGGGCUCAACCUGGAGAC
Molecule: ribosomal RNA, 294 nt
Filed under: uncultured bacterium
Lineage: Bacteria
Description: partial 16S ribosomal RNA
Rfam family: Bacterial small subunit ribosomal RNA
Source: RNAcentral